CAGGCGCCAUGCUUCGGUGGGCGGUUGUCCGCUGUUGAGGUGAAAGGCGGGAGAAGAGUUCAGUUGUCAGCCGCCGGUUACUACUUUAAGAUACCUCAUGAUUCCAGCUACACUGCAGUAUUGGCAACAACAUCAAAGUGAAAGACGCUAGAUUACUGAAUCAAAACAUGAGAAGAAUAUUUAAACUGAUUGCAUUAGGUGGCAGUAGUAUACAAAACAGAAGCACAAGAAGAGGAGGAAAUUAUAACACCAUUGAAGAGUGACCAGGAUCAACUACCAACAGAAUUCAAUCUCUAAAAUAGCAUAUCAUUGCUAAUGUGUGUGCUUAGAAUUCUUAC
Molecule: long non-coding RNA, 338 nt
Organism: Rhincodon typus (whale shark)
Lineage: Eukaryota; Metazoa; Chordata; Chondrichthyes; Orectolobiformes; Rhincodontidae
Exons: 3
Source: RefSeq, a predicted model, not a curated record